AGUGAACGCUGGCGGUAGGCCUAACACAUGCAAGUCGAACGGCAGCACAGUAAGAGCUUGCUCUUACGGGUGGCGAGUGGCGGACGGGUGAGGAAUACAUCGGAAUCUACUUUUUCGUGGGGGAUAACGUAGGGAAACUUACGCUAAUACCGCAUACGACCUACGGGUGAAAGCAGGGGAUCUUCGGACCUUGCGCGAUUGAAUGAGCCGAUGUCGGAUUAGCUAGUUGGCGGGGUAAAGGCCCACCAAGGCGACGAUCCGUAGCUGGUCUGAGAGGAUGAUAAGCCACACUGGAACUGAGACACGGUCAAGACGCCUACGGGAGGCAGCAGUGGGGAAUAUUGGACAAUGGGCGCAAGCCUGAUCCAGCCAUACCGCGUGGGUGAAGAAGGCCUUCGGGUUGUAAAGCCCUUUUGUUGGGAAGGAAAAGCAGCAGGUUAAUACCCCGCUGUUCUGACGGUACCCAAAGAAUAAGCACCGGCUAACUUCGUG
This 492-nucleotide ribosomal RNA is filed under the name uncultured bacterium. RNAcentral describes it as "partial 16S ribosomal RNA". It matches the Rfam family "Bacterial small subunit ribosomal RNA", at positions 29 to 507 of the family's 1533-position model. The record is from RNAcentral.